GUCGACCUUAGUAACGCAAGCUUGUGAUCCGAGGGGAGACAAUAAGGUGAUGGAACAUUGUCCUGACUUUGCCAGGUAAUUGUUUAGUGAGGUCUUUCUACUGGCCCCAAUUUAAAAGGAGUUCGCUCUGUGAUCUCAGAUCUCCAGCAGGGCGUUAGCCUCCACCUGGUUGGUAUGCGGGUUAAAAUUGGACCAUCACUUUU
This 203-nucleotide non-coding RNA is filed under the name Brassica rapa (field mustard). Lineage: Eukaryota; Viridiplantae; Streptophyta; Magnoliopsida; Brassicales; Brassicaceae. The record is from RNAcentral.